GCGGGAUUCGUAUAGUGGUAAUAUGGGGCUCUCCAAAAGCUCUGACGUAGGUUCGAUUCCUACAUCCCGUGCAA
RNAcentral lists this transfer RNA (74 nucleotides) under Candidatus Moraniibacteriota bacterium. RNAcentral's name for it is "tRNA-Trp". It matches the Rfam family "tRNA". Rfam says of the family: Transfer RNA (tRNA) molecules are approximately 80 nucleotides in length. Their secondary structure includes four short double-helical elements and three loops (D, anti-codon, and T loops). The record is from RNAcentral. Lineage: Bacteria; Candidatus Moraniibacteriota.